GUGAAUCAUCAAAUUUUUGAACGCAAAUUGCGCCUUUUUCGGAAGGCAUGUCUGCUUGAGGGCACCAUUCAACAAAUAAUGUGCAUUUCGUGUGCACACGUUGAUGAGCUUUCCAAAAUUAUGUAUUAUUAUUUUUGUUGCGGAUAAUUAAAAACGGGGAGCUUUUUUUUAAUUCGGGGUGAGUAAAAUUUUUUUUUGGUUUGGUUUUGAAAAACGUGA
This 219-nucleotide unclassified non-coding RNA is filed under the name Paraglomus sp. Its description in RNAcentral is "partial contains 5.8S ribosomal RNA and internal transcribed spacer 2". The stretch from base 1 to 65 matches the Rfam family "5.8S ribosomal RNA", at positions 84 to 154 of the family's 154-position model. Lineage: Eukaryota; Fungi; Glomeromycota; Glomeromycetes; Paraglomerales; Paraglomeraceae. The record is from RNAcentral.